GUGGUUAAAAACCAAUUGCCGAAGACAGUAGGUUUUGCAUAUGAUUCAUAUGUGAAGUAAGCAUUAACAUCGCCUACCGAGGGAGUUAUUUAUAUAUGACUAUUAGUGCCUCUCUGUUUUCGCAGGGAGUUUUUUUAUGAAUAA
This is a regulatory RNA element of Eubacterium sp. CAG:161, 144 nucleotides long. It matches the Rfam family "Ribosomal protein L10 leader". From Rfam's summary of the family: This family is a putative r-protein leader autoregulatory structure found in B. subtilis and other low-GC Gram-positive bacteria. It is located in the 5' untranslated regions of mRNAs encoding ribosomal proteins L10 and L12 (rplJ-rplL). The record is from Rfam. Lineage: Bacteria; Bacillati; Bacillota; Clostridia; Eubacteriales; Eubacteriaceae.